This 512-nucleotide unclassified non-coding RNA is filed under the name uncultured Glomus. RNAcentral describes it as "SSU rRNA". It matches the Rfam family "Eukaryotic small subunit ribosomal RNA", at positions 569 to 1083 of the family's 1831-position model. The record is from RNAcentral. Lineage: Eukaryota; Fungi; Glomeromycota; Glomeromycetes; Glomerales; Glomeraceae.
CGCAGCCGCGGUAAUUCUAGCUCCAAUAGCGUAUAUUAAAGUUGUUGCAGUUAAAAAGCUCGUAGUUGAAUUUCGGGAUCAAUAUGUUGGUCGUGCCUCGGUACGUACUAGCAUAUUGGUUUCUCCUUUCUGAAGAACCAUGAUGUCAUUUAUUUGGUGUCGUGGGGAAUCAGGACUGUUACUUUGAAAAAAUUAGAGUGUUUAAAGCAGGCUCACGCUUGAAUACAUUAGCAUGGAAUAAUGAAAUAGGACGUUUGAUUCUAUUUUGUUGGUUUCUAGGAUCGACGUAAUGAUUAAUAGGGAUAGUUGGGGGCAUUAGUAUUCAAUUGUCAGAGGUGAAAUUCUUGGAUUUAUUGAAGACUAACUACUGCGAAAGCAUUUGCCAAGGAUGUUUUCAUUAAUCAAGAACGAAAGUUAGGGGAUCGAAGACGAUCAGAUACCGUCGUAGUCUUAACCAUAAACUAUGCCGACUAGGGAUCGGAUGAUGUUAAUUUUUUUAAUGACUCAUUCGG